AUACGGAGGAUCCGAGCGUUAUCCGGAUUUAUUGGGUUUAAAGGGAGCGUAGGCGGACGCUUAAGUCAGUUGUGAAAGUUUGCGGCUCAACCGUAAAAUUGCAGUCGAUACUGGGUGUCUUGAGUACAGUAGAGGCAGGCGGAAUUCGUGGGGUAGCGGUGAAAUGCUUAGAUAUCACGAAGAACUCCGAUUGCGAAGGCAGCCUGCUGGACUGUAACUGACGCUGAUGCUCGAAAGUGUGGGUAUCAAACAGGAUUAGAUACCCUGGUAGUCCACACAGUAAACGAUGAAUACUCGCUGUUUGCGAUAUACAGUAAGCGGCCAAGCGAAAGCGUUAAGUAUUCCACCUGGGGAGUACGCCGGCAACGGUGAAACUCAAAUGAAUUGACGGGG
Molecule: ribosomal RNA, 393 nt
Filed under: uncultured bacterium
Lineage: Bacteria
Description: partial 16S ribosomal RNA
Rfam family: Bacterial small subunit ribosomal RNA
Source: RNAcentral